UACGUAGGGUGCGAGCGUUAAUCGGAAUUACUGGGCGUAAAGCGUGCGCAGGCGGUUUUGUAAGCCAGAUGUGAAAUCCCCGGGCUUAACCUGGGAAUGGCAUUUGGGACUGCAAGGCUGGAGUGCGGCAGAGGAGACUGGAAUUCCUGGUGUAGCAGUGAAAUGCGUAGAUAUCAGGAGGAACACCGAUGGCGGAGGCAGGUCUCUGGGCUGACACUGACGCUCAUGCACGAAGGCGUGGGGAGCAAACAGG
RNAcentral lists this ribosomal RNA (253 nucleotides) under uncultured bacterium. RNAcentral describes it as "partial 16S ribosomal RNA". It matches the Rfam family "Bacterial small subunit ribosomal RNA", at positions 524 to 776 of the family's 1533-position model. The record is from RNAcentral.